Long non-coding RNA from Vicia villosa (hairy vetch), 2312 nucleotides. RefSeq lists it as uncharacterized. Lineage: Eukaryota; Viridiplantae; Streptophyta; Magnoliopsida; Fabales; Fabaceae. The transcript has 3 exons. The record is from RefSeq and is a predicted model, not a curated record.
AAUUCUGAAAUACUAACAACUUUCCAAUGUUUCUCUCUUCUCUCUUCUAAAGACAAUGCUCCCUUCAUCUUUUUCUCCCCAAUCCCAUUCCUCAUUCCUCAACUCAGCCUUUCACGUUCAUCUUCUUCCAUCGUCAACUUCUAUUUCUUAGACAAAAUAUGCUGAAAAACGUGAAAGUUUCAGCACUCUUCUCUCUUCUAAAGACAAUGCUCCCUUCAUCUUUUUCUCCCCAUUCCUCAUUCUUCAACUCAGCCUUUCACUUUCAUCUUCUUCCAUCGUCAACUUCUAUUUCUUAGACAAAAUACGCUGAAAAACGUGAAAGUUUCAGCAACAAGAUUACUCAUUUGUUGAAUGUUCUUGGCUUUGGUGGGUUUUGUUUCCUCUUAGGAGAAAGUUCGAUUUCAACUCCAAACGAAACUUUCUGAAAAUUCGCAUGAUUUUGAAAUAUUUUUCACAAUUUUAUGCACUUUGGAUGACUAUGAAAAUGCACCAACAAGCUGCGAAGAAGAACACAUUUCUGAGACGGAGAAACUCACUAUAGCUCGAAAUAGAAUAUGUAAGAAGAAGAUGAAGGAAGAAUCCAUCCUCUGUGAAAAGUUAAUUGGCAUGUGGAUGCCUCCAUCCCAGUCAAAAUAGGCUUGGGAUGAUGAUCCUCCAUAUGUUCGAUAAAACAAUUCUUAGAAAGGCUAUCCAACUAUGAACCUGUUGGCUAUUAUUUUUAAUGACUAUUGAGCAUGUCUUAUUCUCUCUGACUGAUUUGAUUUAGGUGAUGAGACUAGCCCCAAGAGAGUGAUGUAUCGGAGGAUGGCGAAAAAGGUUGUCAAAGAUACCCAUGCGUGGACAAUUAUAUUUUCAUGAUGUUUUUUUUUCUUCUCCUUUUUCAUGUUCUUCAUAAGCAAAUAAACAACUGCUCUAUCUAGGCAUGAAUUCACUGAUAUGUGUGUCUUUUUGUGUUCUUCAUGUGAUGGUUAGGUAGCCAUUUAUACGAUGUUAUAGGCUGGUGGACGUACCAAUGAGUAAUUGUAUUGAUAGCGGUCGGUGAUGUAAGAAGGUUCAGGAAAUUUAAACUUCCUGCAUAUUUAACCAAACUUACACAAUUUCAAUUUAACUACUAUUCAUAUCAGCUAUACAUAUGAACAAAUUAUAUCAGCCAUACAAUUGCAAUUUCACCAAAUUUACACAAUUCAUAUCUGCUAUACAUAUAAACAAAUUCAAUAAUAAGAAAGUGUCUGCAAUGUGCUAACUUGCAGGGUGUUGUACAACUUCACUGUUUCUAUAUGAUUAUGUUUGUUUAAACUAUGAUUAUGUAUACUCACAGUAAAUGCAUUUUUGAAAAUGAAAGCUCGAAUACAUAUUAUUUGCCUGUUUGUUUGGUUGGCUUGCAUUUGAGGUUGCUGCAUUGAAGGUAAAUUGUGUGAUGUCCCUUAAACUUGCUUAUCAUCUAUUUGUUUCUAAACCAAUAGAUUUCCAAUAUGGAUAUGACAUUAGCCCUUUAUUACACGUGUUUGAUAACUGUUGCGACAAAUACCACUUGCUUCUUUUGGCAGAUUGUAGGCGGAAAAUUAUCGAUGUUAUUGAAAAUGACUCAUAUGAGCAAAUGGUGAUAAAAAAGAAAGUGAUUAUGAGCAUCAUGUUCUGUCAUUUAGUCUUCAAACUUCUGAUAUUAUGCCCGCCUUUACUUACGUAGCGGCGUUCUCUUCGAUGGUACCUGAAGCUUGUCACAUCGUGAGGUCGUUCAUCAAAGGCUCUAUUGGAGUGUAUUGUGGGGAAGUAUUUGGACAAGCUUCUGAUUGGAGUGUUAAAUGAAGCAUUACAGGACACAAUAAACGGUGGAAAAUUACUGUGUCUCAAGCUAUGCAAAUUACUGCAAAUAUGUCUGUUCUUGACAGAGCUUGUGAUUUUUUCCUUAGGCAUAUGGCUCAAUUAUGUGGGGAAGGUGUCUCGGUUCGUUCAAUGGAUAAGCCUCAAGCUGCAUUAGCUGCAAAGGUAUUACAGAACACUUCAAGGGAUGCAGCUUAUAUUACCCUACUAAGUUUAGUCAACAGAAAAUUGGAUGACUAUAUAAAACUCACAGACAGUGCUCUUUGGACUACGGAAGAGGCGAUGCCGAAUGGAAACGAGUACCUAAAUGAAGUGGUUUUUUACCUUGAUUCACUUUUGUCUACAGCGCAACAAAUUUUACGCUUGGAUGCUAUGUACAAAGUCGGAACUGGUACACUUUUCAAGUAUGUGAAAGUAUGAUGAAACUAUAAGUGAAUUUAUUAUUCUUUAGGAUCUUAGAUUUGUUGUUAUUCAAUAUUUUUUGAACUCUU